GGUUGACCUCGGAUCAGGUAGGGAUACCCGCUGAACUUAAGCAUAUCAAUAAGCGGAGGAAAAGAAACCAACAGGGAUUGCCCCAGUAACGGCGAGUGAAGCGGCAAGAGCUCAAAUUUGAAAGCUGGCUCCUUCGGGGUCCGCA
This 145-nucleotide ribosomal RNA is filed under the name Penicillium roqueforti. RNAcentral describes it as "partial 28S ribosomal RNA". It matches the Rfam family "Eukaryotic large subunit ribosomal RNA", at positions 1 to 142 of the family's 3401-position model. Lineage: Eukaryota; Fungi; Ascomycota; Eurotiomycetes; Eurotiales; Aspergillaceae. The record is from RNAcentral.